This 216-nucleotide ribosomal RNA is filed under the name Glomeromycotina sp. RNAcentral's name for it is "partial small subunit ribosomal RNA". The stretch from base 40 to 216 matches the Rfam family "Eukaryotic small subunit ribosomal RNA", at positions 686 to 864 of the family's 1831-position model. The record is from RNAcentral. Lineage: Eukaryota; Fungi; Glomeromycota.
GGGUCAGUAGGUUGGUCGUGCCACCGGUACGUACUGGUCUCACUGAUUCCUCCUUCCUGAAGAACCGUAAUGCCAUUAAUUUGGUGUUGCGGGGAAACAGGACUGUUACUUUGAAAAAAUUAGGGUGUUUAAAGCAAGCUAACGCUUGAAUACAUUAGCAUGGAAUAAUGAAAUAGGACGAUCGAUCCUAUUUUGUUGGCUUCUAGGAUUGACGUA